UUAUUUUUCUUCUGUUGGGUGAUAGAGUUUAAAUCAAGCUACAUUUGCAAAUUAAACCCAAUUCUAUUAGCAGGAAAUAGAAACAAAACAAUUGUCAAUUUUUUUUAAGAUUCAUAAUAUACAUGGUAAAAAUAUGCUCCAAUUAACCCAUAUCAUGAGAUUUGUAGCUUUACUCUAUUACACAAUGGCAAAAAUUUGUAGUCCUAGUCUAAGCAAACACAAAUCUGGUGAACAGUACU
Molecule: long non-coding RNA, 239 nt
Filed under: Malus domestica (apple)
Lineage: Eukaryota; Viridiplantae; Streptophyta; Magnoliopsida; Rosales; Rosaceae
Description: long non-coding RNA (MDOM_LNC020867)
Source: RNAcentral